UGGCGGCGGGACGCCCGACGUGAGCUGGUCGCUCGUUUUACUCCGAACUGCGGACCGCCGACGAUUUGGGGCCAACCGGCAGUGGGCGUUCCGGUUUGCUGGGUCCAAAGAGCGAAACCUCCCUUUGGCCACGGGCCGUUCACCCCGAAUCCGUACCGACCUUGGCUGAGAAAAGGCCCUCGACUUCGCGAGGCGCCUGACGUCUCCGCGCGCAAGCCCUUGCUCGUGGCGGUUCCGCCGUCCUACUCCCUGGGAGAUCGAGUCUAGGGAAGCCGUCCGGAGUAAAAACCAGUCGCAUCAACGGCCACCGGAGAGGGAGAGCAACCGCCGCUUCACACCGAGUGCACGAGGGACAUCACAAUGCCCGACAAAAGCAGCGCCGGAAGCUACAAGGAUAGCCGCAACACGGAAGUGAAAGCGAUUCCUUUUCCCCCGUCCGCCGAGCGGAGGAAUGCUGGCUUCCAAGAGUACCACCCGGGUGUCCACCAGCCACGCUCGGGAGGCUCAUCGCCCACGUCGCCGCAGCCCACUCAGGGUGGCUGGAAGUUCUGAAGAUCGGACGAGAGAGAUGCUAGAAUGAAACGACUGACGACUUCCCCGCCAAGACCCUGUUGCAGUGCUGAGCAGCUCAUCAAAUCAUCGCCAGAGUGUGAUAAACGUAACCUAAGCAUUCCCACGAUCUCCGUUUCUAGUUUUGUACUAACUGCUUCAUUAAAUGAAGUUGAGUUA
Long non-coding RNA from Ixodes scapularis (black-legged tick), 729 nucleotides. RefSeq lists it as uncharacterized. The record is from RefSeq and is a predicted model, not a curated record. NCBI's taxonomy places the organism in Eukaryota, Metazoa, Arthropoda, Arachnida, Ixodida, Ixodidae. The transcript is spliced from 5 exons.